GGUGUAGCGCAGUCUGGUAGCGCAUCUGCUUUGGGAGCAGAGGGUCGUAGGUUCGAAUCCUAUCGCC
This 67-nucleotide transfer RNA is filed under the name Methylorubrum salsuginis. It matches the Rfam family "tRNA". From Rfam's summary of the family: Transfer RNA (tRNA) molecules are approximately 80 nucleotides in length. Their secondary structure includes four short double-helical elements and three loops (D, anti-codon, and T loops). RNAcentral also lists the same sequence under 1 other name. Lineage: Bacteria; Pseudomonadati; Pseudomonadota; Alphaproteobacteria; Hyphomicrobiales; Methylobacteriaceae. The record is from RNAcentral.